This is a transfer RNA of Ovis aries (sheep), 72 nucleotides long. It matches the Rfam family "tRNA". From Rfam's summary of the family: Transfer RNA (tRNA) molecules are approximately 80 nucleotides in length. Their secondary structure includes four short double-helical elements and three loops (D, anti-codon, and T loops). Further hydrogen bonds mediate the characteristic L-shaped molecular structure. tRNAs have two regions of fundamental functional importance: the anti-codon, which is responsible for specific mRNA codon recognition, and the 3' end, to which the tRNAs corresponding amino acid is attached (by aminoacyl-tRNA synthetases). tRNAs cope with the degeneracy of the genetic code in two manners: having more than one tRNA (with a specific anti-codon) for a particular amino acid; and 'wobble' base-pairing, i.e. permitting non-standard base-pairing at the 3rd anti-codon position. The record is from Rfam. NCBI's taxonomy places the organism in Eukaryota, Metazoa, Chordata, Mammalia, Artiodactyla, Bovidae.
UCCCUGGUAUCUCAGACGGUAAAGAGUCUGCCUGCAAUGCAGGGGACCCGGGUUUGAUCCCUGGGUCGGGAA